This 62-nucleotide transfer RNA is filed under the name Ophiosteira antarctica. RNAcentral's name for it is "tRNA-Thr". The record is from RNAcentral. Lineage: Eukaryota; Metazoa; Echinodermata; Ophiuroidea; Amphilepidida; Ophiuridae.
GUCCUGAAAGCUAUAAGCUGUCUAUUUUGUAAAUAGAAAGAAGUUAAUUUUAACUCAGAACU